Molecule: long non-coding RNA, 263 nt
Organism: Hippocampus comes (tiger tail seahorse)
Lineage: Eukaryota; Metazoa; Chordata; Actinopteri; Syngnathiformes; Syngnathidae
Exons: 2
Source: RefSeq, a predicted model, not a curated record
AGGUGGAAUUUUGUUCUGGAAUGUCAUAGCUAUAAAUUACACAUGGUAAAAUCCUUAUGAAAAUAUUGCAAAAACCUGUUGUGUUUUUGAAAAUCUUAAAUAUGUGAUUGAAAUAUGCUCUCACACCACUCUUAUUAGUCUACAAUUUAAUUCUCUUGUCAAUUAUCACAUUGUUGAUUCUCUCUGUGGAAAUCUAAUAAUCUUCCAGACUCGGAUCUGUGCUUCUUCAAACCACAUUGAGGAUUUUUAACAUUCUUUUUCCU